UCUUGGGUCCAUAUCAAUCUUAAGUCUAGGGAACUUCCAGGAUCUAGGAGAAUGUAAGGUUUGUAGCUGUUUUAUUAUCAUGUUUUGUCUCAUUAUUUACAUAUUAUUUACUUUAGUAGUUAAUUGUAAUACUUGGGAGACUGAAAUAAAAUUCUGAUUGGUAGAUCCUCAAAUACACUUAGCCCUAGAUGACAAAUGGCACUACUCUGAAGAGAAAUGACAGAACUGAAGAUAGAAGCCCUGGAGGGAGGGGGUUCUAAUAACCAUUAAAAAAAAAAAAGAAAGAAAGAAAGAAAUACUUAGCACUUCUGCUACAAAGAAGCAUCUUGAAUCUCCAUUUGCCUUUCAGAUGUCUUGAAAUGAAUGUCCAGUAAGCACCUUAAACUCAACAUACUCACAACUGAACUCUUCUUUUCCCCUAACCCUUACUUUUCCUUACCUUCCCUACUACUGUAAAAGGCAUCACUAUCCUUCCAGUCCCUCAAGCUCCCAACCUCGAAGUCAUCCUCAACUCCUCACUAUCUCUCACUCCAUCUCAUAUCCAAUCUGUUGUCAAAGCUUCGAUUUCACCUUUGCAGCAUCUCUGGAAGAUACUGCUUUCUCUCCUCUAACAUUGCUACCAUUUUGGAACAGGUCCUUACCUCAUUCCUGGCACUAAUUUAAUAGGCUGCUGAUAGGUUUGUCUUCCUCAUAUCUCUUCCCAUUCCAAUCCAUUCAGCCACUAAAUCGAUUUUCCUAAAGUUCAGAUUUAACUGAGUCAUUUCUUUUAUUCAAUAAGCUCCAAUAGCUCCCUGUUACCUCUAGGAUCAAAUACAAAAUGUUCUGUUUUCAUUCAAAGUCCUUCAUAACCUCCUAUCUUUCCAACCUUCUUACAACUUAUUCCUUGACUCAUAUUCUUUAAUCUAUUGCAUUGGCUUCCCUCCUGGCUGUUCCACAAACACUCCAUCUCUCAGCUCCAGGCAUUUUCUCUUACUGUCCCCCACUGGAACACUUUCCCUCCUCCACUUUGAACCCCUGGUUUCCUUUGAAUCAUAGCUAAAAUCCCAUUCUCUACAGAGAGCCUUCCCCAAUUCUUUUUAAUUCCAGUGCCUUCCCUCUAUUAAUUAUUUCAUAUUUAUCAUAUAUAUGUGUGUGUGUGUGUGUAUGUAUAUAUAUGUAAAACUUGGUAAGUAUAUAUUUAUUUGCAUGUUAGAUUGUAAGUUCCCAGCACUGAACCUCAUUUCUUAUGUAGUCUUAAUCACUAAGUGGGUGUUGCCUCAGUCAAACUGAGACCUGUUGAAACUUAAAAAGCUCAAGGAGUCCAACAGCAUCUAGGGCUAUUUCUAGUCUCGGACUAUAUCUUGCCAUUGGACCCACAUGGCUCUGGAGGAGGAAGUAAGAUUGGUGACUUUGCACAGCCCUCACAUGCAUGUUAUGGUAUUAUGUCCCUAAUGUCUGGACCUCUUCAUAAACACUAUGUAACACAGUGACUGUCAUAUAGUAGGUGCUUAAUAAAUGCUUAUUGAUAUGAAAACUGCAGGUGUGAACAUUUGAUGCCCCAUCAAGUGGCUAUGUUAUCAACAGGUGAUCAAACAAGCCAGAGUAAAUCUAAUAAGAAAUUUCCUAAUGGGACUAGAGAAAAGGGAGUGAAGUUGAAAAUUAAGAGAUUAUCUCUGGAUUUCAGUUCCCUAAUUUGUAAAAUGAAGAUUUUGGACUACAUACUCUUUAAGCAAGAAAGAACAAUGGAAUCAGAGGACAGACUCUGACCAGCUCUGCUGCUGACUUUGUAAAAGAUCAUGAACAGAUCAGUCUCUUUCUCUGGGCUUCAUCUAUAAUAAGGGCACAGGACUAGAUUGUUUCUGAAGUCCCAUCCAACUGUAUAAAUGAUUCUUACAGUUCUAAAGCUAUGAUAAGCAUCUGUGAUUAUGUGUGAAGGGAGGGUCAGAGGAAAAUAAAGGAGGGAUGGUUACAUAUUUCCCUGCCAUCUAUUCAGGAUAGGAUACCUAGGUAGCCUAUCCUAUCAAGUAUAUCCUAUUGAUAUCCUAUCAAGUAUAAUCAGUAUUAUUGUUGAGAAGGAGGAAGAGGAGGACACAGUACAAAGCCAAGCUCAGGGGCCAGAAGUGAGAUAAAAGCCUUCCACAGUCUCUGAAAGUUGUCCUUCCUUCAGUCCCACCCUUCAAGGCCCAUGAGCAAGCACCUUUCCUGGAACUCAGCAGAGAAGGGAGCCCCUCCCUAUCCAGCCUUGGCACCUGUCUGGGUACAGCAUGUCCCCUGGGGCAUCCUGCAGACACCCCAGCAGGCCUAGGUGUACCAUAGGGCAGUUUCUUCCUCCUUAACUCUCCAUGUGUGUCCUUGGCCUUGCUUUUGGCAACUGAAAGUCUCCUCUCUAGCAGCUAGCUUCUUACCCCCUUGUUAUGCUCAGAAUGGUUCUGUCCUUCUGCCAGACCACAGAGAAUUCCGGGGGCUAAGGGUGAGAGGAGGAGGGAGGUGACAACACGAAUGUCCUUUGGGGCGUCACAAUUCCUAGGCUCUUCACAUACUUUUGGGAAGGACCAUAGUGUCUCAGCUCUUCAACACCCCUCUCCCUCUUUGUCCCCUCUAGGAGAAUCCAUAAGCUUCUGUGACCUAGGGAGAGGCAAAACCUCUAGACCAAGUAGAAUCAGAAGACCAGAGGAGUGAGGAGAUACGGUGGGAAGGUCUCCUGCACUGGGAUUCUUUUCCUUUUUUCAGGCCCAAAUAAACACAGUCUGGCCCAUCCCCUCACUCAGAGAAACCCCUUUCUUAUGCCCUCUCUGUACCUUUUUCUCUUGUCCCAAAAUAGGAACAGUGUGCUCCUAGUCUGCCCACUGCCCUGCAUUACCUUCUCCUCCCAAGCCCAGCCUAACUCUGACUGACGCAGGUAGCCCCAAAUCUGUGCUGUCCCUAUUGGGGGUGUGUGUGUGAGGGGGUGGGGGGCUGGGGGCGAUGCCCCGAACUUCUUUGUUUUCCAGGCUGGGCGCGGGACCGUCUCUUUUCAGGUACAUGCCUGAGGGGUCUGUAGGUACACACUCUCCCAGCACGAGAAUUUGGGCCGGGGGCGGGGGAGUGGGAGGGGGGAGAGGGAGAGGGAGGAAGAGACAGGGUGUGAGGGGAGGAAGCGGGGGAGUGGGGGGGAGAGGACUGUCCUCUGGGCGGGGAGCGAGCCUCGCGGAGGAGGGAGAUGGGGGUUCCGACGGUCGGGCCUCCGAGGAAGUGCCGGCGGACAGCGCCGGCGAGGCUCCCGGGGGCCCAGGAACUUGCACCCCUCGGCCCCGCCUGUAACUGCCGUGUGUGUGUCGGGUCUCCGAGCCCGGCUGACCGCAGGCUGCAGGAGCGGUUUAUCUGCCUUUCUUAGGAGCAUGGGAACUUCCAUGAAGAAUCCUAGACAAUGAAGUCUGAGGUUCAACAAGCUCUUUUUAAAUCACCCCUGAAAGAUAUGCUUCAGAAAUCACUAUUGACAGGGAAAUAAGAAGAAUCCACCCAAUAUACUGAUGGAUCACUGGGUAAAUCCAAUAUGGAGAAUUAAUAGGAGGACAUGAUCAAGAGUUCCACAAGAUGAACAAGCAUGGUAAAAGCUAAGCUGAAAAUCUAGUUUUGAUGGAAGUCAUCCUAUUCUCUUCAGCUGUUUGAUACCCCUCCCUCCCAUAGAUUAUUUACAUUAUAUGAAAUUUAAAAGCAUUAGCAAAAUCAAUGCAACUAGACAAGAAACGAAGUAGUCGAUUGGAAAAAUACAUAUGUAUCAAAAAACUCUAAUAAGAGUCUGAUUUCUAAAUUUUAUGUGUGUAUGAAUAUUUGUAUAUGUGUACAACAUGAAUGUGCAUACUUAUCUAUAUAAUCCCCACAUAUAUUUAUAUAUAAACACAUACAUACAUACAUAUAUGUGCAUAUACAUCCAUAGAUAGACAUAUUUAUAGAUAUAUAGUAUAAGAUACAUAACACCAGAUGCCAUUCCCCCCAAAAAUGAAAGAUCAAAAAGGAUAUAAACACUUUUCAAAAAAAGAAUUGCAAGACCCUGGGCACAUUACUUAACCCCAAUUGCCUCAGCAAGAAAAAAAAAAAUCCAAGCUAUUAAUAACCAAACGAAAGACUGCUCUAAAUCAUGAAUAAUAUGAAAAAAGUAUAUCAAAACAACUCUGAAGCUUCAUAUCACAUUCAACAAUUGGUAAAA
Molecule: long non-coding RNA, 4165 nt
Organism: Antechinus flavipes (yellow-footed antechinus)
Lineage: Eukaryota; Metazoa; Chordata; Mammalia; Dasyuromorphia; Dasyuridae
Exons: 3
Source: RefSeq, a predicted model, not a curated record